This is a non-coding RNA of Oncorhynchus mykiss (rainbow trout), 1196 nucleotides long. NCBI's taxonomy places the organism in Eukaryota, Metazoa, Chordata, Actinopteri, Salmoniformes, Salmonidae. The record is from RefSeq and is a predicted model, not a curated record.
UUGUCGUAGUUGUGUCUAGGGGGACAUAUGGGGGAGGGAAUGCUGUCACCUCCAGGUAGGUGUUUUCUCCACCUGCGUGCUGAGGGCUUCUUGUCUAGUUCUGGCAUUUAGAUUGCCAAAGACUGGUCCAUGUCACUGGGCCUGGAAAUGGUUGAUCUCCUCCUCUAGGGUGAGCGAAGUGAGCUGAACAUCUGAAGUUCCGGGUCUUUUCCAAUGCAUGUAGCCAUGUGUUUAUCUUCUGUGCUGUCCAUUUCUCAGAGGCCAAACCCAGAGAGACGCCAUGACGUGAUGUACAGCACUGUGAUGCCUGAUCAGUUCAGGACAGAAGAGAAGGUCAACUUAUGGCUACAAGCAUCUCGGCUCUUAGACAACAUAAUGACUGUUACUCAUAAAACGUCACUGCCUUGGCAAAUGUGCAUCUGUUUUAGAAAACAAUUGUAUUUCCACUAUCACUUUCUGUCUUGGAACAAGCAAUAGGUAAAUGUACACUAUAACAGUAUAACAACACGUUUUUGUUACUUGGGCGUCUCUCUACCAACAGGAUCCAUUUCCUGAAGCUGAUGAUGAUGUCACAUACAGCACUGUCAUCCCCCAGCACAAGACCCAACUAAAAGGACAGACCAAGUCAGCAGAACCAGAUGAUAAUGUGGUCUACAGCUCACUAGCUCUACAGGUGACCACACAGCAGAGGGCAGCAGCACAGCAGUGACUGACAGAGAAGACCUUUGUCUCGUCAUUUUACUGGAAGGACAGAAAACUCCCUUCUCCUGUGUCACAACAUCUGUCUGCCUCCAAUAUUCUUCUGUCAUACCUCUUAACCCACCCCAGGUAGAUCCCUCUAUUCUUUAGUGUAAUAAACUACUGAAGACAGUCUGCUGUGUUUGUUUUCAUUAUCACCACAUACACUAUCUGUUAUAUUAGUUAUGUUCCAUCCACCUUUUCACCUUGUCUCUUGUUGUUUACAUGUUCAUCUUAUUUCUCUCAUAUAUAUAGUCAAAUGUCCAAUGCCAGUAACCAAUCAGGAGUGUAAAUUUAACGUACAAGCUGUGUAACAAAAUAAAUAUGAUGAUGAGGCUGAAUACAAAAUGUACAGUUCCAAUCAAAAGUAUUCACCCCCCUUGGUAUUUUUCCUAUUUUGUUGCAUUACAACCUGUAAUUUAAAUUGAUUAUUUGGGGAUUUAAUUUAAUGGACAUAC